UGAGAAUCCUGUCCCCAAACAACAUGCCAA
This 30-nucleotide non-coding RNA is filed under the name Rattus norvegicus (Norway rat). Lineage: Eukaryota; Metazoa; Chordata; Mammalia; Rodentia; Muridae. The record is from RNAcentral.